AAGGUUUCCGUAGGUGAACCUGCGGAAGGAUC
RNAcentral lists this non-coding RNA (32 nucleotides) under Drosophila melanogaster (fruit fly). The record is from RNAcentral. RNAcentral also lists the same sequence under 4 other names. Lineage: Eukaryota; Metazoa; Arthropoda; Insecta; Diptera; Drosophilidae.